AGAACGAACGCUGGCGGCAUGCCUAAUACAUGCAAGUCGAACGAACUCUUCGGAGUUAGUGGCGCACGGGUGCGUAACGCGUGGGAAUCUGCCCCUUGGUUCGGAAUAACAGUUGGAAACGACUGCUAAUACCGGAUGAUGACGAAAGUCCAAAGAUUUAUCGCCAAGGGAUGAGCCCGCGUAGGAUUAGCUAGUUGGUGAGGUAAAGGCUCACCAAGGCAACGAUCCUUAGCUGGUCUGAGAGGAUGAUCAGCCACACGUGGGACUGAGACACGGCCCAGACUCCGUACGGGAGCAGCAGUAGGGAAUAUGGACAAGUGGGACGAAAGCCUGGAUCCAGCAAGUCGCCGCGUGAGUGAUGGAAGGUCGUUAGGGUUAUAAACGUCGUUACGUUUAACCGGAGUA
This 405-nucleotide ribosomal RNA is filed under the name uncultured soil bacterium. RNAcentral describes it as "bacterial SSU rRNA". It matches the Rfam family "Bacterial small subunit ribosomal RNA", at positions 26 to 452 of the family's 1533-position model. The record is from RNAcentral.